AUUGAACGCUGGCGGCAUGCCUUACACAUGCAAGUCGAACGGCAGCACGGGAGCAAUCCUGGUGGCGAGUGGCGAACGGGUGAGUAAUAUAUCGGAACGUGCCCAGUCGUGGGGGAUAACGCAGCGAAAGCUGUGCUAAUACCGCAUACGAUCUACGGAUGAAAGCGGGGGAUCGCAAGACCUCGCGCGAUUGGAGCGGCCGAUAUCAGGUUAGCUAGUUGGUGAGGUAAAGGCUCACCAAGGCGACGAUCUGUAGCUGGUCUGAGAGGACGACCAGCCACACUGGAACUGAGACACGGUCCAGACUCCUACGGGAGGAAGCAGUGGGGAAUUUUGGACAAUGGGCGAAAGCCUGAUCCAGCAAUGCCGCGUGCAGGAUGAAGGCCUUCGGGUUGUAAACUGCUUUUGUACGGAACGAAACGGUGAGCUCUAAUACAGUUUGCUAAUGACGGUACCGUAAGAAUAAGCACCGGCUAACUACGUGCCAGCCGCCGCGGUAA
This 500-nucleotide ribosomal RNA is filed under the name uncultured bacterium. Its description in RNAcentral is "partial 16S ribosomal RNA". It matches the Rfam family "Bacterial small subunit ribosomal RNA", at positions 30 to 523 of the family's 1533-position model. The record is from RNAcentral.